This 252-nucleotide ribosomal RNA is filed under the name uncultured prokaryote. Its description in RNAcentral is "partial 16S ribosomal RNA". It matches the Rfam family "Bacterial small subunit ribosomal RNA", at positions 525 to 775 of the family's 1533-position model. The record is from RNAcentral.
ACGUAGGAGGCGAGCGUUAUCCGGAUUUACUGGGCGUAAAGCGCGUGCAGGCGGUGCGAUAAGUCGUGCGUGAAAGCUCCCAGGCUUAAUCGGGAGAGGACGUGCGAGACUGUCGGACUAGAGGCAGGUAGAGGCAAGUGGAAUUCCGGGUGUAGUGGUGAAAUGCGUAGAGAUCCGGAGGAACCCCGGUGGCGAAGGCGGCUCGCUGGGCCUUACCUGACGCUCAGAUGCGAAAGCUAGGGGAGAGAACGG